AUUUAUAUUUACUUAUUCUACUUUAGUAACAAAUUAUUGAAAAUUCAUCAAAGGAAAAAUGAAUUCCAAAACUUUCCCUUACUGUAAAGCUGCAUCCCUUCAUAAGAUUGAUGGUACCUGUAUUGAAGACCUGUCAUACUAUGUUAACUCUGUGUUAAGAUUUUACAGUAAGUUAUCAGAACUAAGGUUAAUGUGUUUUAUAAUGAAUUGUUACAGGAUGUUUAAUGUACUUCUGGGUCAGACUCGGUGCAUUCAGAUGUACUAGUGCUCACUGAGUUCCAUCACGUACCCAGUGUUGUGUAGGCAGGUGUAGAACCUUACUGACUAGUCACAGGUUGACAUAUCUUGUACAGGUGUGUAUAGGCCUGACUUGUGCUGUUGCCCAGCAUUGCUUUUUGAAUACUGCCAAUUUUGUGUUUUACUGUUUAGGAUUUUUAAUGCUUUAUGUGUGUGUGAGGGUAUUUAUAUAAUUCCCCUCACCCACACAAACACUCCUCCAUAGCCUAGGAGACUGGCAAGUGCUGCUACCGACUGUUGACUGGCCUCUUGUGUUCUGUGCUGUGGCUGGCUGUCCUAUCAGCAGACUCAGUAAAGUAAUACAUAUACUCACAACUCUAAUCCUUCAUCUUGUCUCACAUUUUCUGCUAUCAUUGUAUCAGGCUACUUUUUGCUUCGUUUUGGAAUUUAACUGUCCAUCAACAAACUUUAUUUUCUGUAAUUAUUAUUAAUAAUAAUAAUAAUGAAAUAAAAUAGGAAUUACAAGCGUAUCAGCAUGAUCUGUUGUAUAAAUGUUACAAAAUGUUACCACAGCUGUUACUUGGGUGCGUUGUACAUGUGAAGGCUAUUCAUGUGUACUUCAGUGUGUCCUUAGGAAGAUGUUGAAGAAUUACAGUUCAUUUGGGGGUCUUGGAAUAAAUCCUUUCUCACCUGCCAUUGGAAAUGACUAUGAAAUAAUUAAAAAUUAAUUGCUAGUGUGCACCGUUUGAUUAAAAAUUCUAUUUUAAGUGUGAUCUAUUUAAGACAUUUUUUUGUACUUGUAAACAGAAAUGAGAUUUUUUCAGUCGCAAAUAUGAUAGCUUAAAUUUACCUUGGUUUGUAAAGGUAUGAAAAAAGAAAAAAAAAUUGAAAAAGAAAUUAAAUGGUGAAGGAAAUGUUUAAGAAGAAAACCUGCUUAUACAUCAACUCUAUACAAAGAGACCUUUCAUUGGAAAAAUAAUAUUGCACCUGGUGAUCUGACGUGUGUCUUCAUCACCUGUAAAGAGCUGCAAUAUGGUUAUUGAGUUUACAGUCAUCGUAAUCUUCACUUUAGGACACUUAUAUCUGCUGGGAUAUCUGUUUGCUUUAUCAGUAGUCUUUACGUUUGAACUCUGAUGUUGUGUUGUAAUUUUUGUGUGUGAUUUUUUUUACUGUGAAUUGUGUAUAAACUUGUCUUGUUUUGUAAGCUGGGAAUACGGUUAGUGUUCUCCUCUGUCUCAACACGUAAUUAUAGUCAUAUUUUCUUGACUGUUUGUUAUACAAUGAGCUGUUACUUUUCUGUUUCUGCAGCUUGCCCCCAGUAAAUUGGGCUUAUUUUAUCACUUUUUCUCUAUGAAAACAAUUUACAGGACAUACAUUCAUGUUAGUUUAUCUUGUUAUUAUCUUAAUCUGUUUUCCUUUUUUUGUUUUACAGUGAUGCUUUUGCCUUUGUUCAAGCUGUCCCUUUGUAAUACUGUAUUGUCCUGUUUUCUUUCCAGAUUUUUACCCUACUCUAUAUGUACCAAUAUCUACAUGUAUCCCCACCUAAAAAAGUUGCUACUUGGGAAUAUUCCAUUUAAUCUUAAUAUCAUAUUUAUUUUAAUUCCAUUGGUUUGUACAUAUUUCAUUAUCAUUGUCACUAUGGCAGAAUGUAUUUAUUUCUUCAUAAUUAAUAGUUUUUGACCUGUAGAGAGCAGACUUUUAUCUUGGAAGGGCUAUAUAUAGUUAAAUACUAUCAGCAAAUUUGGCCUUGUUCAAUGUCAGAAGACAAGGUAAAGUGAACAUUAUUUUGCUAUGAGUUUCAAAGCUUUUAUUUCAGUAUGAGAAUAUUGUAUUUGGAUCAUACAUUGAUUUUUUGGUUUGCAAUAGUUGACCUUUUCCCUGUGUUUGCCAUGUGUAAUCUUGAGAUGUUUGCUGAGUACCGGUACUAGUACUGCAGCAGAUGCUUGACUUGUACAGGUACUAGUACUGCGGCAGGUGCUUGACUUGUCUGUGUUAUUUCUCUACCCUGGGGAUGGGAAUUUCUGUGGUCUGUGGAGUGAGAUUGUAACUUGUGAACUGUGAGCUUUUCCUCAGGAAUAAACAGUAAAAUCAUUUAUGAUUUCUCUGUAUUUUGUUCUGAUCAUGAAGAUCUGUUUCAUUGCAAUUUUAGCUGCAUCAGGCGUGUUAAUUAUAAAGCAUCUUAGAUCAGAUUGCAUUCAGAUUUUUAACCUUCAGUGUGUCCCUGCUGCAUUUUGAAAUUGUACUUACAAUUUGUGUUUAAAGAAAUUGUAGACGGAAUUAUGUGCUGUUCUUAAAUUCAGCCACUGGGGAAAAGCAGUGUCUAAAAUAUGUGAGGUAAACCUCAAACUUGAGCCAUAUGGUAUAGCUCUUUCCGGUCGACUGGUGCGUGAUGUUUUUCUUGGUCCUCAGUUGUCAGUCAAGUCCGUCUCAGACUGAUGAUUUCCAAGAUACAUUGGCACCAGCUGAUGGUAUUGUUUUUGAUAGUCUUGGUCAACAAUUGUACAGUUUCGCCAAAUAAAUAUGACAUUUUUUUAAAGGAAAUCUUCAAACUUAA
This is a long non-coding RNA of Liolophura sinensis, 2791 nucleotides long. RefSeq lists it as uncharacterized. The transcript is spliced from 2 exons. Lineage: Eukaryota; Metazoa; Mollusca; Polyplacophora; Chitonida; Chitonidae. The record is from RefSeq and is a predicted model, not a curated record.